AAUGCAGCUGUCUCUUGGAAGCUGAGCCGUGAAGUAAGAAAUUGGGAGACGUAAAGCUGACGUGGAAAGCUUUCCCCUUCCUUAGCAGGGAGGCGCUGCUCACGUGACCAAAUGUUAAAAUUGACAAGCUAUGAGUACGGGCCCUCUUCCUCUCCCUCUCCCCCACCCCUCCCCCUCCUUUCUCCUUCCCCUCCUUGGGAGCCAUCUCGAGAGAAGCAACAGAUCGUCCCCUCGGGUCUCCAGGCGUUAAAAAUAGAACAAAACACCGAAACGCAAAGAUUUAAAUGCAGUUUAUUCCUAUCUGACUUUUGAACGAGAACUUCCAAAAGAAGGAAAAAAGGAAGGGAAGACCUGCGUACCGUUUUUUUUUUCCUUUCAUUAGAUACUCUCCCCUUCUCUCUGUUUAAACUAGCUAGACCCCAUUCUGGUCUAGGAAACAGGAGGUUUGGAACCUGCAGAAUCCUGCUUCUCGCCCCUUCCUCUUUUUCCUCCUGGGUCUGAAGAAAUGUCUUGUCACAGACAUACACACUCUCACCCACACACUCUCCUCAGCAUAGGCAGGUCUGUCUUACGGGCUGCGCCGCUCCGCAACCUCUUGGGGUCUUCCUGAAAGGUCCCUCGAUUAGAUAAUCCGCCAGAUCUCCAGGCUUUUCUGAAAGCCUCUGCCGACCAGCGUGCGCCAGGGUCAAGUCUGCACAUUAGUGUCUUCCUUCUCCUGGAUACCUAGUCACCUCAGCUAACUCGGGAAUUUUCACCGGCCUUUGCUUUGAACGCUGAAUUUGUACAUUAAGUGUCUUUAACCAGAGUUUUAUUCCUUUCUUCUCUGUCAUUCAUCUUCCAUAUUCUGAAUUUUCGUCCUGAUUUCCUAUAGUAAGAGGUCUUUGAGACAGCAAGUGGUCAGAAAAAGGAUCUAAUAUCAGAGAAAUAGCUGCCAGGUUGAACGACCCCUUCUAUCCGAUUCUGGAAGCUGCAACUUUGAAAUAAGAACUAGGUUUUGCCAACUGAUUGAGUGAAAGUGGCAUUUCAGAGAGUUAGCAGAUUUGCGUCCUCCCCAACACCCUUCACUAGCCAGAAGAAAGGCCUUCAGAAGUGGUGCCCAAAGUGGUGUCCGAAGCUCAAAAUUAACAGUAAAAAGAACAUCCUUAUAUUUAUUCAGAGCCAAAAGAGACAAAGAGAGACAGAAAUAUUGCUAUACAACACUCUUCUGGCAGGAAGCAAGCACCAUACUUCUGCAGGCUAACUUAUUCUGAUGGAAAAGAAAAUAAACUCCCCACCCCCAUAACUAAUUAGAAAGUCAUGUCCGUGUGUAUCUGUGGGUUUGUGUGUGUUUCUCUGUAUCUGUCAGGAGUAUGUCUAGGGUAGAAAUUUGAUCUACCCGCUGCUCUUCGGGCAACUGAUUCUAAAAUUAUCAAAGAAAAUAGGGCACAUUUCCUAGUGGCAUCGAAAUCCAUUGUCUGAAAAUUAGGGGAAAGAAAAAGUGGAAUUAUUGGGAGUGGAAAUAAUGAUUCUCAAUUCUAUUCUUCCCUCCUUGGAAAAUAAACCUUGAAUAGCCUUACUCUGCAUUCUGGGUGUUUAGGAUUUAAUUGUCGGGACCCAUUUGUUUAUUUAUUACAGAAUUAAUUCUAACUGACUCAAUAAUAUUGGGUUCUGGCAGAAAAAUACCUUGAUUGUGUAUUUUCUUUGCCUUUGAUUUAAGUAUGCCGAGUUGUAAACAUCAAUAUUAUCUAGUAAGUACUUGUGGUGGAAUACACUAAUUUAUUAGCAUUAAUGUUUAUAUACCUUUUAAUGCUCCCCCUCUUUUCUUCUGCUCUCCCUUUUCUUUUCUUUUUUUACAAGGGUAACCCAUCGCAAAUCAACAGCUUUGGACAUAUCCCUUUAAUGAACUCUUUAUUUUGGAUCGCUGGAAUAACUUUUAUGGGCCUUCAACGUUUGUAAACUGAACUUGAAAUUAUUAAUUAAUCUCCGUCUUUGUCACAUUUGCCAAAAGAGUCGAUGAAAAUAGGAGAUAAGGGUGUCAUCAAAGGACCGGUUACAGCUUGCUCGGGGUCUAUGUGGGACUAUAAAAUGGUUUUAUUUCUCCUUUCUUUCUUUGUGUAUGUGUGUGUGUUGAAGGUUUUUUUUUAAGAGAAAUUUUUACAAAAAUAUGCAACAGGGAUGCUUGCCAACUUGACUUCAACAGCAGCCUUGUUGCUUUUCCGUAUUUUUUUUCCUUCUCAAGCAAAAUACCUGCCUCUGAGUUCAUGCUCCAACCUUUCCCAUUCUUGAUAUAAAAACUGCAUUUCCUCUCCUUUUCUGAAGGCCUCUCUCCCCCCCCCACCCCGCAAAUCCAGCGAUAACAAAGGCGCCACAGUUGCACAGAGUCGCCCCGCCUCUGUUGCUCUAUAGCAAACAGCUUCCUUGCCCUUGCAGGAGACGAGCAUUUCAGGCGCUCUUAGAACCCGGCGCGUCUAGGAAGGGGCGAAAAACAGCUCUCAACUGACUUGGGCUUUUAUAGCACUUUUGGCAGUCAACUUCAGCUUGUCUCCAGCAGACGCGACUGAAAGCUGACCGAAAGCACCGCCUUCCCCGAAGCUUUCAAGAAAGAUUGUCCUUUAGGGUAAAGGGGGCAACAGACCUGGAAGGCGAGCUCUAUACAGUAAUGGCAAGGGCACCUUUGGGCAGCCAAGGACCGUCUGUGUAUUCCUUUCAGACAAGAGAGGAACGAAGACUCCGUCUCGGGGAGGCGAUAAGGCACAGAGACGGAGGGGAGGGGGGAUUGAGAGAGAUGGAGUGGAGAAAGUGGUUGCGGUGACCCGCAGCUCCAAUCUCUGCUUCAGUUUAUUUCUUCUGGGUUUACGCAACUAGUGGGAAGCUUGGAGAUUUGGGGAAGGUGCAUUCAAACGCAAGGCAUAAAGAGCCUCCCGCUGAACUCCCAUACGGAUGGCAGGUUUCCUUGAGAGGAGUGCCAUUCAGCAGACUUCUUCGCUUCCUUCGUUGCCAGGUGAAAAGUAGCGAGGGAAUGCCCAGACUCUUCCCAAUAGUUCGCCAGCAUCCCCAACCUGCUGCCAAAAAUUCCCUCUCUCUUAGUCCUGGCCCUUCUCCACUAUACGCAAGUUUAUGAGGCCUCUCCUUCGGAAAUGUUCCUGAGUUUUCAUAUACUUGGAAGCGGAUGGAUGAGAAGAGCAAGGAAGGAGUAGAGAGCAGCGUUCUAAUUUACUCCGCUGGAAACCAGGACCCAAUCCAGUACUAGGACUUUCUUUGAUGAAGAAAAGUCUUUUGGCACUUCAUUGUUCUAUAGAAUCUUUUCCACAUUGGAGUGAAAGUUAACCAGCACCAACUGAAUGAGGAGGUGACAAGGCUGUGAGAAAAUUACACCGCACAGUAGGAUAAGACCGAGACGCAGAAAACUAUAUUAAAGACAGUUUAAACGGCACUCCCGCGGCCUGGGAUCUGUUGUUUUGCCGCAAGGGACACAACGCAUCUGAAUCGUUUUAGCCAUACAACAAUUAUUCACACUCAAUGGCUGGAGAUUCACGUGUGUUUUCUUACCCCAGUCGCCAGGAUCCGGUGUCGCGGCGCAAAACAUCCGUGGGGAAUUUGGCCUGCAGGGAGCCUGUCCGGUCGAGGAGAGUGAGCCGCCCGCCCCAUUUCAAGAACCGAAGUCGGUUCUGCAGGACGGGACGUGCCGGAACCGGUUCUGCCUUCGCUCAGGAAGCCCGCGGCUCUCCGGUUCACUUUUCUGCUUGCCGCGAACUUGAGGCCAAACGUUCUCCAACUGUUCGCCUUGUUGGCGGCUCCUUUCCCACUCCUGCUGCUUAAACAGCCGGCGGCGGAGAUGAUUAAGCAGAACGGAGUCCGGGAAAUCAGAUUCAAGGGUUAUGUAAUCCCACGAAUCUCCUAUUUCUGUUCCCCUCCCCUUUCUUCCCGGUCUCGGUCUCGGUCUCGGUUUCGGUCUCGAAAGCAUCCGCUGCUCUUUCCCUGGCGGGACCCUCAGGCAUUGCUUCCUCAAA
Molecule: non-coding RNA, 3989 nt
Organism: Pantherophis guttatus
Lineage: Eukaryota; Metazoa; Chordata; Lepidosauria; Squamata; Colubridae
Source: RefSeq, a predicted model, not a curated record